This 366-nucleotide ribosomal RNA is filed under the name uncultured bacterium. RNAcentral's name for it is "bacterial SSU rRNA". It matches the Rfam family "Bacterial small subunit ribosomal RNA", at positions 335 to 693 of the family's 1533-position model. The record is from RNAcentral.
ACUCCUACGGGAGGCAGCAGUGGGGAAUAUUGCACAAUGGGGGAAACCCGUAGCAUGCAGCCAUGCCGCGUGUGUGAAGAAGGCCUUCGGGUUGUAAAGCACUUUCAGUAGGGAGGAAGGUAUGUAGUUACACCUGCAUUAUUGACGUUACCUACAGAAGAAGCACCGGCUAACUCCGUGCCAGCAGCCGCGGUAAUACGGAGGGUGCGAGCGUUAUCCGGAUUUAUUGGGUUUAAAGGGUCCGUAGGCGGAUUAAUAAGUCAGUGGUGAAAUCCCAUCGCUUAACGAUGGAACUGCCAUUGAUACUGUUAGUCUUGAAUGAGGGUGCAGUGGUUGGAAUGUGUAGUGUAGCGGUGAAAUGCAUAG